Molecule: long non-coding RNA, 1274 nt
Filed under: Cyanistes caeruleus (blue tit)
Lineage: Eukaryota; Metazoa; Chordata; Aves; Passeriformes; Paridae
Description: lncRNA (ENSCCEG00000003190.1)
Source: RNAcentral
UCAUUGUCUGUUGCCUGGCCCAAGCCAGCACAGGAUUUGGGGAGAGGAGCACAAGGGGGAAAGACUAGGAGGACAUCAGGAUGGAGUGGGCAUGGCAUCCUGCUCUGGCAGCCAGCAAAAUCUUCCCCCGCUGUGGUUCUGACCUCCCAGAGGGGUGAAUACUGAUGCUCCCCCUGACAUGGCACAGAACUCUAGACCGAUCACCACAUGCAAAAAAAAAAAAAAAUUUCAACCAAACCAACAGCAAAACCAUAAUUCACGGUGUUGAGACCCAGAGAGGGGAAUAAAAUGACAGGCCUGAUUCAGGAAGGGGGUGGCUUUGGCUCCCAGCCAAAGUAGCUCCAGGCUGGCAUGUGCUCCAAGGAGCCAGCAGCCACCAAAAACCACCCUGCUGCACCUCUGCCCACCCUGCUUCCCACACUGGAGUGAGACUGCUCACAGGGUGGAGGAGAACAAGCCCCUGGGAGCAGGGUGUUGCUGCCUGUGACAGAAGGCUACGGGUACCCAGGCACAUAGUGCUGAGUGUCAGGUUAGAGCAAAGGCUGAAAGCCACGAGCCCACCUCUUCCCCUUCCCCCUUGACCAUUCCCCACCCUCCCCACUUUUUUUUUAGACCAUGCUCCGACUGUUACUUUGUUCUCACUGCUGGGAAUGGCAUUGCCUCCAGAGGAUCCCAGGCUCAGCUCCUUAGGAAGCUUCAGUGUGCCAGCUCUGCUCUGCCAAGGGGAACAUUAUGGCCAUGGAUGUGAUCUCGUCAACUCUCUCAAAAGCAAGCUAACAAGCAAACUGACCUCCACAGCACCUCCACAGCACUGGGAGUGGAGCCUUCUCCCACAGGACAAUAGCCUUUCUGCCUCUAAGAUAAAAGAGGUCUCAAGGACAGAACUGAACCUGCAAGACCCAUGGCCUCGUGGCCUGCCCUUCCUCCUUCCCUCCUUACCUCAUGUCUGUCUUGGGGGAGGGACAGUUUCCCUGUGGAGUUCAACAAGCUCCUCUUCUGCAGCUCGUAAACAGGCUCUACUAACAGGUAUAUCAUCCACCUAUGCAACUCUUCCAGAAGCUGCCAGAUUUUCAGGAGCCCAUUACAAUGUGCAGCAUGGCCAUCCAGCACUGAGAAUAAGCACAGUGGCUGCUGGAAAGCUUAGUGGGUUUUAUUCCUCCCCCAUUCCCCAGGAAGACUCUUUUUGUUGGGCCAUUUUGUUUGUUCGUUUGUUUGUUUUUUGUAAACUUUGUUUGGGGGAAAUGAAGCUUGUGAGAAAUUGGUGCCCAUCCUGA